Lycium barbarum (goji berry) is the source of this 2844-nucleotide long non-coding RNA. RefSeq lists it as uncharacterized. Lineage: Eukaryota; Viridiplantae; Streptophyta; Magnoliopsida; Solanales; Solanaceae. The record is from RefSeq and is a predicted model, not a curated record. The transcript is spliced from 2 exons.
CCUAACCAAACGACGCCAUCUCCCAUCACCGCUGGUUCCAUCGACGGACCAGCGUACAAAAGCCAUCCUCGACGCCACCGCCAUCAUGUCUCUUCAGUCCCCUCACCCUCUCUACGAGAUUAUAGAGCCAUUAAUGCUCUGCAAACUAGCUUGUUCAACUUCCAAAGAGGGCAAAUGUGAGAAUCUUGUGAAUACAAGGAUGAUUCGAUGGAUAACAGCCUCAUCCCAUCUUCAGAGCUCGGUUUGCUAAGAAAAAUUUCGGAUUUUUGGCCCCAACAGCUCUUUCCUUUCACUUCACCUCUGAAAAAGUUCUCCGCAAAGACCACUUCGAGCGGAUUCGGAGACUCGACGACGACAAUAGCCUCAGUUCGCUGUCCCGGAGAAGGUCAGUAAUCACAUUCACUUUCCCUUUCAUUUCAGUUGUUAGAUAAAGUGUAAUUGUUUGAGUUUUUUUGCCUCUCAUUUGGUUUUCUGUUUUAAAAAAUGUAUUUUUGUAUCCGCAAUUUUCUUGUCUAAUUUUCUGUUUGAGGUGUGUCGAGCCUAAUUUUUGUUGUUCUUGUUCGAUGAAAUCAGUAUGUAGAAGUUAAAAAUGAAAUAAGGACACUUAGAAGGGCUAUCGAUUCCAUUUAAUGGAUGUAUGCCGCACCAUGUCGUUUGUCUAACUUUCUGUUGCUAGUAUUCAUUUUAACUCAUAUUUCGGAAAGGUGAUAAAAGAGCUGGCACAUAAGAAAUCCAGAGAGAUAAAACUUGAAUUUAUGAUCAUUUUGGGGCUGUUUGUUUUCCUUGAAAAUGUAUGGGAUAACAUAGUACUAUAUCUUUUCUUUGAGUUUUGUUGUACAAAUCGAACUGGCUCCUUGCCUAAAAAAUCCAAAACUGCUAAGGGAUGUAUUCGAGACUAAGUUACUAUUGCAUCUUUUCUUCUGAAACUAACAAAUGGGCAGGAUAGUAAAAUGGUCGUGCACUACUUAAGUUUGUGGAAAACUUAUCUUAAAUUGAUAUUGUGUUAUGUUAGAAGGUAGCAAUAAGGUUUUGGUGUGAAUUUGGAACAAUUUAUAUCAAACAUGUAAACACCUUCGUGUCUCAUUUCGUUUUGGUUUGCAGAGUUAAGAUAUAAUCGUUUGAGUAUUUUCGACGUUUUACACAAGUCUCUGCUAAGUGUAUGCACAAAUCGGUUAUUUUGCCUCUAUUUUUUAUGAGUCGGUUUAUAAAAGGCUAACAUAGACUAUGGGCUUGUUACGAUAAAUAAGUGAUUUGCUAGAAUAAAAAGAAGAAGAAAAUAGUUGUGUAUUAUUGAACUUGAGACUGUUUACUCUUUUUGAGAAUGCAUGAGAUAAAUUGAAGUAUAAAAUUGUCUUAAGUCAAACCCGGCUGUGACUUGGAUCUGCUCUUGAACUAUCUCCCCCAAAGUAGCUAAAAUGCUAGGAGUAUGUAUUUGUCGUCUUACUGUUUAAAAAAUGAGGAUGUUUGGUUAAGUUGUAAUGCUGGGAAUGCUCAAGAUUACUUAGCUCGCUAACUUAUAAAUGUUGAGAGUCUAGUAAUCAUGGCUGUACCUAUUUGUUUCUUGAGGUAUGAUAAGUAGUUUUCAACAAGGUUCCUCCCUAAGAGUUCGUUUGUGUGUUCUCUUUUCAAUUAAGUGAAGAUGAUGAGUUUAUUGAGUUGUUGUGCCUUGUAUUGAUCUUAAGAGUGCUUAAAUCAAGUUAGCUGACAUUUUUUUUCAUAAAUGCUGAGGAAUGGUUGUUUUACCUCUCGUAAUCUUCGAACUUGUUAAAACUUAUUUCAUGUGCUAGUUAUGCUUAAAAGGAGUUAGCUAGUAUGAAGCUGUACUACUCUCAUGUGGUUUGAUUAAGGUUUAGGCUUUAUGAAUUAUUGUUUGAUUGUGUAUCCUUAUUUGUGAACACUUUCAUAAGGGAUCUGAAAAGGUUUGAGGGUGAUUAAUUAGAACAUUGAAUUUGGUAGCUGUUUGUGUCAUAUUUUCAGAACAAAAGUUGAACUCUGUUUUCUCCUUCUUGUGUGAAAAGUGCAAAUGAACAGGUUACUCUACUUUUGCCAUAGCUUAAGUUGGUUUAACCAAUUUACUAAAGCAUGUAGUGUUACCUUCUUUACUGUCCCUUCCAGCUUUUGUGUUUCGUUUCAACUAUGACCUUCCGAAACGUUGCUUAUUAAAUUAUCGAGAUUAUGCUUCAUGAUCAGUUUGAGUCAAGAGUUAAUCUGCUAGUAAGCUCGUGAUGUGACUGGCUGUUUCACUCCUUUUGAUUUAAUCAUGAGGGUUGGUUCCAGUUGUUUUCUCAUGCUAGUGUGUACUAAAUUGCUGUUUAGAUUUGUGUGUAAGACUGGUGAAACUUUAAAACAUAAAAGAAGGCUUUGGAUGUGAUCAUGGUUUAAAUGUUUGUGAGCUAAAUUUUUUUGAGACCACAUACUAGAUUUUUUGACGUAGGAUAUCAUUCUUAUGAUUUAACUAGAUUCUGGAAAUAAUUAGUAUUUUUGUGUCUCAUUUUAAUUACAACGUAUAACAUUUGAUGUUAAUUAUUUCCAUCUAUGAUUAUUGGGAUUGUAACUCUAAUCCUUUUCUUUUCUUUCUUUUUACAUGAACACCAUGGGAGUUUGUUGGAGUUGUGGCUCAACUCUAAUUCUGCAGCAGCAGAUUUAUUUGCGCGUAUCUAACCGUCCCCCUAUUUCCACGUCUCGAGUCCCUUUCCUUCUUCCUUAUUCAAAAUUUCAAGCCUCCAUAUUGUUUGAUAUAUGCUAUUUAUAUUAUUUGACUAACACUCUUGUGAAAUUGUAAUUUUUGUAGUUUUGUUUUGAACGCGUAACUUGACUUAAGUAUAUCAGUAAGUUUAGUCAUUA